This 253-nucleotide ribosomal RNA is filed under the name uncultured bacterium. RNAcentral's name for it is "partial 16S ribosomal RNA". It matches the Rfam family "Bacterial small subunit ribosomal RNA", at positions 524 to 776 of the family's 1533-position model. The record is from RNAcentral.
UACGGAGGGUGCGAGCGUUAUCCGGAAUUAUUGGGUUUAAAGGGUGCGUAGGCGGCUUAUUAAGUCAGGGGUGAAAGACGGUGGCUCAACCAUCGCAGUGCCUUUGAUACUGAUGAGCUUGAAUACACUAGAGGUAGGCGGAAUGUGACAAGUAGCGGUGAAAUGCAUAGAUAUGUCACAGAACACCGAUUGCGAAGGCAGCUUACUAUGGUGUCAUUGACGCUGAGGCACGAAAGCGUGGGGAUCAAACAGG